AGAGUUUGAUCAUGGCUCAGAUUGAACGCUGGCGGCAGGCUUAACACAUGCAAGUCGAGCGGUAGCACAAGAGAGCUUGCUCUCUGGGUGACGAGCGGCGGACGGGUGAGUAAUGUCUGGGAAACUGCCUGAUGGAGGGGGAUAACUACUGGAAACGGUAGCUAAUACCGCAUAACGUCGCAAGACCAAAGAGGGGGACCUUCGGGCCUCUUGCCAUCAGAUGUGCCCAGAUGGGAUUAGCUAGUAGGUGGGGUAAUGGCUCACCUAGGCGACGAUCCCUAGCUGGUCUGAGAGGAUGACCAGCCACACUGGAACUGAGACACGGUCCAGACUCCUACGGGAGGCAGCAGUGGGGAAUAUUGCACAAUGGGCGCAAGCCUGAUGCAGCCAUGCCGCGUGUGUGAAGAAGGCCUUCGGGUUGUAAAGCACUUUCAGCGAGGAGGAAGGUGGUGAGCUUAAUACGUUCAUCAAUUGACGUUACUCGCAGAAGAAGCACCGGCUAACUCCGUGCCAGCAGCCGCGGUAGUACGGAGGGUGCAAGCGUUAAUCGGAAUUACUGGGCGUAAAGCGCACGCAGGCGGUUUGUUAAGUCAGAUGUGAAAUCCCCGGGCUCAACCUGGGAACUGCAUUUGAAACUGGCAAGCUAGAGUCUCGUAGAGGGGGGUAGAAUUCCAGGUGUAGCGGUGAAAUGCGUAGAGAUCUGGAGGAAUACCGGUGGCGAAGGCGGCCCCCUGGACGAAGACUGACGCUCAGGUGCGAAAGCGUGGGGAGCAAACAGGAUUAGAUACCCUGGUAGUCCACGCUGUAAACGAUGUCGAUUUGGAGGUUGUGCCCUUGAGGCGUGGCUUCCGGAGCUAACGCGUUAAGUCGACCGCCUGGGGAGUACGGCCGCAAGGUUAAAACUCAAAUGAAUUGACGGGGGCCCGCACAAGCGGUGGAGCAUGUGGUUUAAUUCGAUGCAACGCGGAGAACCUUACCUACUCUUGACAUCCAGAGAACUUUCCAGAGAUGGAUUGGUGCCUUCGGGAACUCUGAGACAGGUGCUGCAUGGCUGUCGUCAGCUCGUGUUGUGAAAUGUUGGGUUAAGUCCCGCAACGAGCGCAACCCUUAUCCUUUGUUGCCAGCGGUUCGGCCGGGAACUCAAAGGAGACUGCCAGUGAUAAACUGGAGGAAGGUGGGGAUGACGUCAAGUCAUCAUGGCCCUUACGAGUAGGGCUACACACGUGCUACAAUGGCAUAUACAAAGAGAAGCGACCUCGCGAGAGCAAGCGGACCUCAUAAAGUAUGUCGUAGUCCGGAUUGGAGUCUGCAACUCGACUCCAUGAAGUCGGAAUCGCUAGUAAUCGUAGAUCAGAAUGCUACGGUGAAUACGUUCCCGGGCCUUGUACA
Molecule: ribosomal RNA, 1389 nt
Filed under: uncultured bacterium
Lineage: Bacteria
Description: bacterial SSU rRNA
Rfam family: Bacterial small subunit ribosomal RNA
Source: RNAcentral